Molecule: ribosomal RNA, 1325 nt
Filed under: Vibrio sp. 6F4
Lineage: Bacteria; Pseudomonadati; Pseudomonadota; Gammaproteobacteria; Vibrionales; Vibrionaceae
Description: bacterial SSU rRNA
Rfam family: Bacterial small subunit ribosomal RNA
Source: RNAcentral
GAGCGGCGGACGGGUGAGUAAUGCCUAGGAAAUUGCCCUGAUGUGUGGGAUAACCAUUGGAAACGAUGGCUAAUACCGCAUAAUGCCUACGGGCCAAAGAGGGGGACCUUCGGGCCUCUCGCGUCAGGAUAUGCCUAGGUGGGAUUAGCUAGUUGGUGAGGUAAUGGCUCACCAAGGCGACGAUCCCUAGCUGGUCUGAGAGGAUGAUCAGCCACACUGGAACUGAGACACGGUCCAGACUCCUACGGGAGGCAGCAGUGGGGAAUAUUGCACAAUGGGCGCAAGCCUGAUGCAGCCAUGCCGCGUGUGUGAAGAAGGCCUUCGGGUUGUAAAGCACUUUCAGUCGUGAGGAAGGUGGUAGUGUUAAUAGCACUAUCAUUUGACGUUAGCGACAGAAGAAGCACCGGCUAACUCCGUGCCAGCAGCCGCGGUAAUACGGAGGGUGCGAGCGUUAAUCGGAAUUACUGGGCGUAAAGCGCAUGCAGGUGGUUUGUUAAGUCAGAUGUGAAAGCCCGGGGCUCAACCUCGGAAUAGCAUUUGAAACUGGCAGACUAGAGUACUGUAGAGGGGGGUAGAAUUUCAGGUGUAGCGGUGAAAUGCGUAGAGAUCUGAAGGAAUACCGGUGGCGAAGGCGGCCCCCUGGACAGAUACUGACACUCAGAUGCGAAAGCGUGGGGAGCAAACAGGAUUAGAUACCCUGGUAGUCCACGCCGUAAACGAUGUCUACUUGGAGGUUGUGGCCUUGAGCCGUGGCUUUCGGAGCUAACGCGUUAAGUAGACCGCCUGGGGAGUACGGUCGCAAGAUUAAAACUCAAAUGAAUUGACGGGGGCCCGCACAAGCGGUGGAGCAUGUGGUUUAAUUCGAUGCAACGCGAAGAACCUUACCUACUCUUGACAUCCAGAGAACUUUCCAGAGAUGGAUUGGUGCCUUCGGGAACUCUGAGACAGGUGCUGCAUGGCUGUCGUCAGCUCGUGUUGUGAAAUGUUGGGUUAAGUCCCGCAACGAGCGCAACCCUUAUCCUUGUUUGCCAGCGAGUAAUGUCGGGAACUCCAGGGAGACUGCCGGUGAUAAACCGGAGGAAGGUGGGGACGACGUCAAGUCAUCAUGGCCCUUACGAGUAGGGCUACACACGUGCUACAAUGGCGCAUACAGAGGGCAGCAAGCUAGCGAUAGUGAGCGAAUCCCAAAAAGUGCGUCGUAGUCCGGAUUGGAGUCUGCAACUCGACUCCAUGAAGUCGGAAUCGCUAGUAAUCGUGGAUCAGAAUGCCACGGUGAAUACGUUCCCGGGCCUUGUACACACCGCCCGUCACACCAUGGGAGUGGG